RNAcentral lists this ribosomal RNA (689 nucleotides) under uncultured fungus. Its description in RNAcentral is "eukaryotic LSU rRNA". The stretch from base 267 to 420 matches the Rfam family "5.8S ribosomal RNA". Lineage: Eukaryota; Fungi. The record is from RNAcentral.
CNUGGUCAUUUAGAGGAAGUAAAAGUCGUAGCAAGGUUUCCGUAGGUGAACCUGCGGAAGGAUCAUUACAGUAUUCUUUUUGCCAGCGCUUAAUUGCGCGGCGAAAAAACCUUACACACAGUGUUUUUUGUUAUUACAAGAACUUUUGCUUUGGUCUGGACUAGAAAUAGUUUGGGCCAGAGGUUACUGAACUAAACUUCAAUAUUUAUAUUGAAUUGUUAUUUAUUUAAUUGUCAAUUUGUUGAUUAAAUUCAAAAAAUCUUCAAAACUUUCAACAACGGAUCUCUUGGUUCUCGCAUCGAUGAAGAACGCAGCGAAAUGCGAUAAGUAAUAUGAAUUGCAGAUUUUCGUGAAUCAUCGAAUCUUUGAACGCACAUUGCGCCCUCUGGUAUUCCAGAGGGCAUGCCUGUUUGAGUGUCAUGAACUCUUCAACCCACCAGUUUCUAGUAGACUGCGUUGGUGUUUGGAUCUUGAGCGUUGCUAGUCUGACUAGCUCGUUCGUAAUAUAUUAGCAUCUCUAAUUCGAAUUCGGAUUGACUCAGUGUAAUAGACUAUUCGCUGAGGACACUUUUAUUAGUGGCCGUACUAGAACCAGUAGAAGCUUCCAACUAUUGUAGUCAACUUUAAUUUAGACCUCAGAUCAGGCAGGANGACCCGCUGAACUUAAGCAUNUCAAUAAGGNGGAGGAA